GCACCCCGGCUGGGUCCCCCGCACCGAGGAGGGUCCCCUGUGCGCCGGGUGGCGCUCACAUGGAGCAGCCCCCCCGGCGGUGCCUCUGUCGUGGAGGACGCUGAGCCCCGGGUGCUGUCUGCCCUCCCCCCGCGCAGAGUAAGGCUCGCUAGCCCCGCUGCGUCCCCGCUCGGGGCCCUUGUCACACCGCCAGUUUUUCGUCUCCGAAUGAGAGGGUGGGAACCGAGGACCUGGGAGGGCCCCUCCCAGUUCUCAGUCGGAGGCUCCCGUGUGGACCCCCACACGGUGCGGACCCCCUCACGGUGGCAUUGCAGGAGAGCUGGUGUAGACUGGCCCAGGGUGGCCGGGCGGUGAGGUGGCCUCCCAGCAGCCCAUUCAGAUGCGUCGGGGGCGGGUUGUCACAAACCUGAAGUUUUUAGGAACAGCAGCUCAAGAUGCCCAGCAGGGGAACAGUUUGGUCCUUUUGAGCAGGAAAAAAGGUUCCUUUGAUGUGAUCUCCCAGUCAGCGGCUGGGGGUAAGUUCCCAUUCCCAGGGCUUCUCACCCCUGACGCUGGACGUGGUUGGGUCUUGUUUGUGCACACUAGAGGAGGAUCUGUUCACAGAACGCUUUUUCUGAGGUUGAAAGGAAGACCCUGGUUUUGUCGGAAUUCCCCUUUGGGCACAGGGGAACACUGAGUUCUGUGACAGCAUAAAGCCGAAGCCCCUACAGUCCGGAGGGAGGGAGGGAGCAGGAGCGUCUGAGAGCGUUCACACACGUGGGGCCUGUGUUGUCCCGUGCUGCUUCUCUGUUGACUCCAUCUUAUUUAUUUGAGAGAGAGUUCGAGAGAAGAGUGCA
This is a non-coding RNA of Callorhinus ursinus (northern fur seal), 836 nucleotides long. NCBI's taxonomy places the organism in Eukaryota, Metazoa, Chordata, Mammalia, Carnivora, Otariidae. The record is from RefSeq and is a predicted model, not a curated record.